AUUCCGGUAGGUAAGGCUACCACAAGGAUAUGGACUGCUGCCGCGGAGUAGUGGAGACACUAUGAGAGGGUUUGAACAGGUCGCAUCGAAACCAAGGUGUGAUCUAACGCAGUUUCACCGCCUUGUGAAGCUAAAGCUUGUAACGGU
Molecule: small RNA, 147 nt
Filed under: pig gut metagenome
Description: M-box riboswitch (ykoK leader)
Rfam family: M-box riboswitch aptamer (ykoK leader)
About the family: M-box riboswitch, also know as ykoK leader is described as a metaloregulatory RNA that sense divalent metals and function as a genetic control element of genes related to divalent metal transport in bacteria. It was first reported upstream of the B.subtilis ykoK gene and genes with related functions in other bacteria.
Source: RNAcentral